UGGGGUGUCGUCUAACGGUAGGACAACGGACUUUGAAUCCGUUUAUUGAGGUUCGAAUCCUUGCACCCCAG
Molecule: transfer RNA, 71 nt
Filed under: Propionibacteriaceae bacterium
Lineage: Bacteria; Bacillati; Actinomycetota; Actinomycetes; Propionibacteriales; Propionibacteriaceae
Description: tRNA-Gln
Rfam family: tRNA
About the family: Transfer RNA (tRNA) molecules are approximately 80 nucleotides in length. Their secondary structure includes four short double-helical elements and three loops (D, anti-codon, and T loops).
Source: RNAcentral